Molecule: ribosomal RNA, 492 nt
Filed under: uncultured bacterium
Lineage: Bacteria
Description: partial 16S ribosomal RNA
Rfam family: Bacterial small subunit ribosomal RNA
Source: RNAcentral
AGUGAACGCUGGCGGUAGGCCUAACACAUGCAAGUCGAACGGCAGCAGGGUGAAGGCUGGCUCUUACGGGAGGAGAGUGGGGGGGGGGUGAGGUAUCCGUGGGAAUGUCCGUUUUAGGGGGGGAACAAGUGGGAACGGUAGCGCAAAUCGCGCAACCGACCUACGGGAGAAAGCAGGGGAUCUUCGGACCUUGCCAGCGUGAAUGCGCAGAUGUGGGAUUAGCUAGUUGGCGGGGUAAAGGCACACCGAGGCGACGAUCCGUAGCUGGUCUGAGAGGAUGACCAGCCACACUGGAACUGAGACACGGUCCAGACUCCUACGGGAGGCAGCAGUGGGGAAUAUUGGACAAUGGGCGCAAGCCUGAUCCAGCCAUACCGCGUGUGUGAAGAAGGCCUUCGGGUUGUAAAGCCCUUUUGUCGGGAAAGAAGAGCAUCAGGUUAAUACCCCUCUGUUCUGACGUUACCCAAAGAAUAAGCACCGGCUAACUCCGUG